This 497-nucleotide ribosomal RNA is filed under the name uncultured bacterium. Its description in RNAcentral is "partial 16S ribosomal RNA". It matches the Rfam family "Bacterial small subunit ribosomal RNA", at positions 29 to 507 of the family's 1533-position model. The record is from RNAcentral.
AGUGAACGCUGGCGGCGGGCCUAAUACAUGCAAGUCGAGCGAACAGAUGGUGAGCUUGCGCCUCUACCGUUGGCGGCGGACGGGUGAGUAACGCGUGGAUAGCCUUCCUAUAUUUCUGGGAGAACUUCGGGGAGCCGGAUCUACUAACAGCGAAUAUGUUGAACCGCAGGAGUCAAGAGUUAUAGGCGGUUUUGGCGACACUAUUAGCUGAAGCCGCGUCGGAUUAUCUACUUGGUAAGGUAACGGCCUACCAAGGCAACGAUCCGGAUCUGAGCUGAGAGGAUGAUCGGCCACACUGGAACUGAGACACGGUCCAGACUCCUACGGGAGGCAGCAGUAGGGAAUAUUCGGCAAUGGGCGCAAGCCUGAUCCAGCCAUGCCGCGUGAGUGAUGAAGGCCUUCGGAUCGUAAAACCCUUUUAUUGGGGAAGAACAGCUGUAGAUUAAACCAUCGCUGUCUUGACGGUACCCAAUGAGAAAGCAACGGCUAACUUCGUG